CUCAUUUUAAAAGGGCACAUCCCCUCCACUUUCUGUCUCUCUCUUGCCCCUGUUUUUGCCAUACGAAGGGGUAGCUCCCCCUUCACUUUCCGCCAUGAUUGAAAGCUUCCUGAGGCCACCUCAGAAGCCAAGCGGAUGCUCCACCAUGCUUCUGUAUGAUGACCGGAGACACAGCUGUUGGAGGAAAAAAGUUUAUGUCAAUUAAAAUCCUGAAUUUCUCUGAUCUGGAAAGAAAAACUGCUAUGAACUCUUUAGAUGCCAACACAAGUGCUGAAGAGGAUGUUACAUGAGAGAAAGAUGGAUUCAUAUGUGGAAAAGCCUUCUAAGGAUAAAGUCUACCAUAUACUGACUUACUUUUGGAGGUAACAAGGGUUGGUGAGAUCUCAGUAGUGUCCUUCUCACGAGGAGCCUUGACAUCCUUCAUGCCACACCACUUUAUCAGUAAACCCUCCAGGAUGGAACUAUUUACUGAAAUGCCAGUACUCCCCCUCAUUUUUUAAACUACAUGACCUGUUCAGUGCUGUCUGUUCUGGAAUGAAAGGCCAAUAUCCAAGUGUUCAGAAAGACCCGGGAGAUGGGACAAAGAGGAUGAAGCUGGGGCUGGAAGGCGACUCUGGGAACGGCUCAUAAAGAUGUCCCACAGAAUGACUGAGGCUUUGUUUCAUGAAUAGGUGUCUCCAUUCGGCCUUGAUGGCUAACCAGCCAACUGAACAAGUGUAAAGGGCCCAAGAAAGGCCCGUAAAACCCAUGACAUGAAAGAACAAUUUAGGAAAAUAACAACUAAGGUAAAAAUAUCAUUUUUAUUGCAUAAAUUGCAUGAGGAGUUGUGAAAUUAAAACCAUUUAUUUAUAAAAGUUAUUUCCUCAAAAAAUAAAUAAUAUUAGGUAUAUCUCCUAAUGCUAUCCCUCCCCCCUCCCCACCCCACAACAGGCCCCAGUGUGUGAUGUUCCCCUUCCUGUGUCCAUGUGUUCUCAUUGUUCAAUUCCCACCUAUGAGUGAGAACAUGCGGUGUUACACCUAAUGUUAAAUGACGAGUUAAUGGGUGCAGCACACCAACAUGGCACAUGUAUACAUAUGUAACAA
This 1083-nucleotide long non-coding RNA is filed under the name Homo sapiens (human). RNAcentral's name for it is "HSALNT0027659". Lineage: Eukaryota; Metazoa; Chordata; Mammalia; Primates; Hominidae. The record is from RNAcentral.